CGGUACAGGGUGAUAGUCCCGUACACCAAAAUGCACAGGUUGUGAACUCGAAGAGUAGGGCGGGACACGUGGUAUCCUGUCUGAAUAUGGGGGGACCAUCCUCCAAGGCUAAAUACUCCUGACUGACCGAUAGUGAACCAGUACCGUGAGGGAAAGGCGAAAAGAACCCCGGCGAGGGGAGUGAAAAAGAACCUGAAACCGUGUACGUACAAGCAGUGGGAGCACCUUCGGGUGUGACUGCGUACCUUUUGUAUAAUGGGUCAGCGACUUAUAUUCUGUAGCAAGGUUAACCGUAUAGGGGAGCCGCAGGGAAACCGAGUCUUAACUGGGCGUUAAGUUGCAGGGUAUAGACCCGAAACCCGGUGAUCU
This 369-nucleotide ribosomal RNA is filed under the name Klebsiella pneumoniae. RNAcentral's name for it is "partial 23S ribosomal RNA". It matches the Rfam family "Bacterial large subunit ribosomal RNA", at positions 354 to 731 of the family's 2925-position model. Lineage: Bacteria; Pseudomonadati; Pseudomonadota; Gammaproteobacteria; Enterobacterales; Enterobacteriaceae. The record is from RNAcentral.